UGGGGAAUUUUGGACAAUGGGCGCAAGCCUGAUCCAGCCAUGCCGCGUGUCUGAAGAAGGCCUUCGGGUUGUAAAGGACUUUUGUCAGGGAAGAAAAGGAUAGGGUUAAUACCCCUGUCUGAUGACGGUACCUGAAGAAUAAGCACCGGCUAACUACGUGCCAGCAGCCGCGGUAAUACGUAGGGUGCGAGCGUUAAUCGGAAUUACUGGGCGUAAAGCGGGCGCAGACGGUUACUUAAGCAGGAUGUGAAAUCCCCGGGCUCAACCUGGGAACUGCGUUCUGAACUGGGUGACUAGAGUGUGUCAGAGGGAGGUAGAAUUCCACGUGUAGCAGUGAAAUGCGUAGAGAUGUGGAGGAAUACCGAUGGCGAAGGCAGCCUCCUGGGAUAACACUGACGUUCAUGCCCGAAAGCGUGGGUAGCAAACAGGAUUAGAUACCCUGGUAGUCCACGCCCUAAACGAUGUCGAUUAGCUGUUGGGCAGCUUGACUGCUUAGUAGCGAAGCUAACGCGUGAAAUCGACCGCCUGGGGAGUACGGUCGCAAGAUUAAA
Molecule: ribosomal RNA, 551 nt
Filed under: uncultured bacterium
Lineage: Bacteria
Description: bacterial SSU rRNA
Rfam family: Bacterial small subunit ribosomal RNA
Source: RNAcentral